GACGGUGGCUCAGUUGGCAGAGUGCCUGCCUCAUGUGUAUGAAGCCCUGGGUUCCAUCCCCAGCACUGUCU
RNAcentral lists this transfer RNA (71 nucleotides) under Cricetulus griseus (Chinese hamster). It matches the Rfam family "tRNA". Rfam says of the family: Transfer RNA (tRNA) molecules are approximately 80 nucleotides in length. Their secondary structure includes four short double-helical elements and three loops (D, anti-codon, and T loops). Lineage: Eukaryota; Metazoa; Chordata; Mammalia; Rodentia; Cricetidae. The record is from Rfam by way of RNAcentral.